This 77-nucleotide transfer RNA is filed under the name Clostridia bacterium. RNAcentral's name for it is "tRNA-Arg". It matches the Rfam family "tRNA". Rfam says of the family: Transfer RNA (tRNA) molecules are approximately 80 nucleotides in length. Their secondary structure includes four short double-helical elements and three loops (D, anti-codon, and T loops). Lineage: Bacteria; Bacillati; Bacillota; Clostridia. The record is from RNAcentral.
GCAUCCGUAGCUCAACUGGAUAGAGCAAUUGCCUUCUAAGCAAUAGGUCGGGGGUUCGAGUCCCUCCGGAUGCACCA